This 623-nucleotide small RNA is filed under the name Malus domestica (apple). Its description in RNAcentral is "sRNA MD10G0187800". Lineage: Eukaryota; Viridiplantae; Streptophyta; Magnoliopsida; Rosales; Rosaceae. The record is from RNAcentral.
AUGCCACCAUUGUCUAGCCGCCAAACUAACCAAUUAGAGGACAGAGAGAUGGAGAUAGAUGCAUGUUAAGCCUUUGCCGAGAGAUAUUAUGAGAGUUUGACAUGCAAGUGCAUGCAGUUCUGAACUUAUGCUAUAUACUUAGGUUUAGUUCUUAUACAUUAUAUAUUUAUAUAUAGUGAGAGAGAUUAGAAAAGAUAUGUGUGGUAGAAAUACUUAGUAUUUGGACGUGAUCAAGGAAUUUAUUCAAGUACGUGGAGUCUAGUUAUUGCGGUAGUGACGCGGAUCUUCGUUUUAGCUUUGGGAUCGAGGUAUUGGUGAGGAAUAUUGCUUGCUUGGCUUGGAGACCAGGACCGGUGCACCUACAAAUAGACGAUCUGGACUAAGGUCGGGACAAGCGUUGUUUGUUACUUGUCAACUUCUUAAUCGCUCAUUGACUUUCCACAGGUUUUUGUUUGUACAUAUGCUUGAUUCCCUUCGUCUUGAAGGAAUUUUUUGUAACUAAACUUAGCACUUUGUACUCUCCAAAUUGUGCCUAAGAGUUGGUUAGUAUAUUUACUUAUUUUAAACUCUUUGGUUUUGUUGUAAGUUUUAAACUUCAUCUUUGAUGUAAAAAUCUUAUCCAA